CUGUACUGUUAGCUGAAUCCCAAAGGGGAGCGGGGGACAAUACAUGGGGUAAAGGGCGGUCCGUAAGGGGAACCACCCAGGGCAUACUCUCUGCCUGAACAUACUAUCCUCGUAAGCAGAAAGGAGAGUCAAU
This 133-nucleotide small RNA is filed under the name Clostridia bacterium. RNAcentral describes it as "c-di-AMP sequence". It matches the Rfam family "c-di-AMP riboswitch aptamer (ydaO/yuaA leader)". From Rfam's summary of the family: This family represents a conserved RNA structure found upstream of the ydaO and yuaA genes in Bacillus subtilis and related genes in other bacteria. The ydaO/yuaA element is thought to act as a genetic "off" switch for the ydaO and yuaA genes in its native state. Lineage: Bacteria; Bacillati; Bacillota; Clostridia. The record is from RNAcentral.